AGAGUUUGAUCAUGGCUCAGAAUGAACGCUGGCGGCGUGCUUAACACAUGCAAGUCGAACGAUGAAUCCUAGCUUGCUAGGAGGAUUAGUGGCGCACGGGUGAGUAAUAUAUAGGUAACGUGCCUCUUAGUCUGGGAUAGCCAUUGGAAACGAUGAUUAAUACUGGAUACUCCUUCUCUUUAUAAUGAGAGUUGGGAAAGUUUUUCGCUAAGAGAUCGGCCUAUUUCCCAUCAGGCAGUUGGUAGUGUAAGAGACUACCAAGCCAAUGACGGGUAGCGGGUUUGAGAGGAUGAUCCGCCACACUGGUACUGAGACACGGACCAGACUCCUACGGGAGGCAGCAGUGAGGAAUAUUGCACAAUGGAGGAAACUCUGAUGCAGCAACGCCGCGUGGAGGAUGACGCAUUUCGGUGUGUAAACUCCUUUUACGAGUCAAGAAAAUGACGGUAGCUCGUGAAUAAGCACCGGCUGACUCCGUGCCAGCAGCCGCGGUAAUACGGAGGGUGCAAGCGUUAUUCGGAAUCACUGGGCGUAAAGGACGCGUAGGCGGGAAGCCAAGUCUGAUGUGAAAUCCUAUGGCUCAACCAUAGAACUGCAUUGGAAACUGGUUACCUAGAGUAUGGGAGGGGGAGAUGGAAUUAGUGGUGUAGG
RNAcentral lists this ribosomal RNA (651 nucleotides) under uncultured bacterium. Its description in RNAcentral is "bacterial SSU rRNA". It matches the Rfam family "Bacterial small subunit ribosomal RNA", at positions 8 to 679 of the family's 1533-position model. The record is from RNAcentral.